AACACUUCUUGGCCUUUUGGCUAAGAUCAAGUGUAGUAUCUGUUCUUAUCAGUUUAAAUGUGUGACUUAUAGACUUUCAUUUAUUCUGCACACCUCUUUUUUUUUUUUGGCCAGUCCUGGGCCUUGGACUCAGGGCCUGAGCACUGUCCCUGGCUUCUUCCCGCUCAAGGCUAGCACCCUGC
This is a small nuclear RNA of Perognathus longimembris pacificus (Pacific pocket mouse), 182 nucleotides long. RefSeq annotates it as U2 spliceosomal RNA. NCBI's taxonomy places the organism in Eukaryota, Metazoa, Chordata, Mammalia, Rodentia, Heteromyidae. The record is from RefSeq and is a predicted model, not a curated record. The transcript has a single exon.